This 253-nucleotide ribosomal RNA is filed under the name uncultured bacterium. RNAcentral describes it as "partial 16S ribosomal RNA". It matches the Rfam family "Bacterial small subunit ribosomal RNA", at positions 524 to 776 of the family's 1533-position model. The record is from RNAcentral.
UACGAAGGGGGCUAGCGUUGCUCGGAAUCACUGGGCGUAAAGCGCACGUAGGCGGGUCCUUAAGUCGGGGGUGAAAUCCCGGAGCUCAACUCCGGAACUGCCUUCGAUACUGAAGAUCUUGAGUUCGGGAGAGGUGAGUGGAACUGCGAGUGUAGAGGUGAAAUUCGUAGAUAUUCGCAAGAACACCAGUGGCGAAGGCGGCUCACUGGCCCGAUACUGACGCUGAGGCACGAAAGCGUGGGGAGCAAACAGG